CUACGGGGCGCUCCAGUGGGGAAUAUUGCACAAUGGAGGAAACUCUGAUGUAGCAACGCCGCGUGGAGGAUGACACUUUUCGGAGCGUAAACUCCUUUUAUAUAGGAAGAAGAUGACGGUACUAUAUGAAUAAGCGCCGGCUAACUCCGUGCCAGCAGCCGCGGUAAUACGGAGGGCGCAAGCGUUACUCGGAAUCACUGGGCGUAAAGAGCGUGUAGGCGGAUUAAAAAGUCAGAAGUGAAAUCCUAUAGCUUAACUAUAGAACUGCUUCUGAAACUCUUAAUCUAGAAUAUGGGAGAGGUAGAUGGAAUUUCUGGUGUAGGGGUAAAAUCCGUAGAGAUCAGAAGGAAUACCGAUUGCGAAGGCGAUCUACUAGAACAUUAUUGACGCUGAGACGCGAAAGCGUGGGGAGCAAACAGGAUUAGAUACCCCAGUAGUC
RNAcentral lists this ribosomal RNA (439 nucleotides) under uncultured bacterium. Its description in RNAcentral is "partial 16S ribosomal RNA". It matches the Rfam family "Bacterial small subunit ribosomal RNA", at positions 339 to 795 of the family's 1533-position model. The record is from RNAcentral.